This 1017-nucleotide ribosomal RNA is filed under the name Glandirana rugosa (Japanese wrinkled frog). RNAcentral's name for it is "partial 16S ribosomal RNA". It matches the Rfam family "Bacterial large subunit ribosomal RNA", at positions 776 to 2489 of the family's 2925-position model. The record is from RNAcentral. Lineage: Eukaryota; Metazoa; Chordata; Amphibia; Anura; Ranidae.
CAACCCGUCUCUGUUGCAAAAGAGUGGGAAGAUUUUCAAGUAGGGGUGAUAAGCCUAUCGAACUUAGAGAUAGCUGGUUGUUCAGGAAAAGAGUCUCAGCUCUACCUUAAGUUUUUUUUAUUAACCUAAGCAAACCCCAAGACUUAAGAGCUAUUCAAGUAAGGCACAGCUUACUUGAAACAGGAUACAACCUCCACUAUUGGGUAAACAAGAACAAAUUAAAUAAAGUGGGCCUAAAAGCAGCCAUCUUACAAAAAGCGUUAAAGCUUAACUUAUAAAUACUCAUAAUUCCACUAAUUCUUAUUAACCCAUUAUUACUACUGAACAAUUUUAUAAUUGUAUAAAAAAUAUUAUGCUAGAACUAGUAACAAGAAACUGCCUUUCUCCUAAAUGUAAGCCUACACCACAGCGGACCACCCACUGGUAUUUAACGCAACUGUCCCCAUUAUAGCAACACUCAACUAGAAAACCCUAUAAUCACUAACGUUAACCUCACACUAGAACAUUUUAGGAAAGAUUAAAAGAAAAAGAAGGAACUCGGCAAACCCUAGCCCCGCCUGUUUACCAAAAACAUCGCCUCUUGCCCAAUAUAAGAGGUCCAGCCUGCCCAGUGACAUAGUUCAACGGCCGCGGUACCCUAACCGUGCGAAGGUAGCAUAAUCACUUGUUCCUUAAAUAGGGACUAGUAUCAACGGCAUCACGAGGGCUACACUGUCUCCUCUCUCCAAUCAGUGAAACUGAUCUCCCCGUGAAGAAGCGGGUAUUUCAAUAUAAGACGAGAAGACCCCAUGGAGCUUUAAACUUAAUAUACACCUUCAAUUACUUAUACCAAUAAACCAUAAAGCCUGUGUAUUAGUUUUAGGUUGGGGGGACCGCGGAGUAAAACUUAACCUCCACGACAAACGGGCCAACGCCCUUAUCCAUGAAACACAAUUCUAAGAAUCAAUAAUCUGAUGUUUUAUGACCCGAUAAGUCGAUCAACGAACCAAGUUACCCUGGGGAUAACAGCGCAAUCUA